Molecule: ribosomal RNA, 119 nt
Filed under: Pteropus alecto (black flying fox)
Lineage: Eukaryota; Metazoa; Chordata; Mammalia; Chiroptera; Pteropodidae
Also listed under: 1 other name
Source: RNAcentral
GUCUAUGACCAUGCCACCCUGAAUAAGCCCGAUCCCAUCUAAUCUCAGAAGCUAAGCAGGGUCAGGCCUUUUUAGUACUUAGAUGGGAGACCACCUAGGAAGACCAGGUGCUGUAGGCA